This 463-nucleotide ribosomal RNA is filed under the name uncultured Klebsiella sp. Its description in RNAcentral is "bacterial SSU rRNA". It matches the Rfam family "Bacterial small subunit ribosomal RNA", at positions 338 to 795 of the family's 1533-position model. Lineage: Bacteria; Pseudomonadati; Pseudomonadota; Gammaproteobacteria; Enterobacterales; Enterobacteriaceae. The record is from RNAcentral.
CCUACGGGGGGCAGCAGUGGGGAGUAUUGCACAAUGGGUGCAAGCCUGAUGCAGCCAUGCCGCGUGUGUGAAGAAGGCCUUCGGGUUGUAAAGCACUUUCAGCGGGGAGGAAGGCGUUAAGGUUAAUAACCUUGUCGAUUGACGUUACCCGCAGAAGAAGCACCGGCUAACUCCGUGCCAGCAGCCGCGGUAAUACGGAGGGUGCAAGCGUUAAUCGGAAUUACUGGGCGUAAAGCGCACGCAGGCGGUCUGUCAAGUCGGAUGUGAAAUCCCCGGGCUCAACCUGGGAACUGCAUUCGAAACUGGCAGGCUAGGGUCUUGUAGAGGGGGGUAGAAUUCCAGGUGUAGCGGUGAAAUGCGUAGAGAUCUGGGGGAAUACCGGUGGCGAAGGCGGCCCCCUGGACAAAGACUGACGCUCAGGUGCGAAAGCGUGGGGAGCAAACAGGAUUAUACCCUUGUAGUC